Molecule: unclassified non-coding RNA, 247 nt
Filed under: Hevea brasiliensis (rubber tree)
Lineage: Eukaryota; Viridiplantae; Streptophyta; Magnoliopsida; Malpighiales; Euphorbiaceae
Source: RNAcentral
CGGAUGGGCUUUUAAGGAGAUGACAAAUGGGAUGCCGAUGAAAGCAGCCGAUAGAAGACUGGAAGGCGCAGUUAAAGAAGAAGAAUUGAUGAGAGCGCUGAAGGUUGCCUUCUGGUGCAUUCAAGAUNNNNNNUUCAAUGGGAGAAGUGGUGAGGAUGUUAGAAGGAUCAAUGGAGAUGAACACACCACCAAUGCCACAGACUGUCUUGGAACUAAUAGAGGAAGGAUUAGAUCACGUAUACAAGGC